CUUCCACCUUGACAGUGGAUCCUCCAGCCCAAGUCAAGCCUUCAUAUAUCUGCUAUCCUAAAUGACAUUGUAACUGAAACUUCAUGAGACAAGAAGCCAGAGCCAGUCAAAUGAGGUGCUCCCAAAUUCUUGACUUAGAAAAACUAUGAAAUAAUAAAUCUGUUCAUUCAACAAAAACACCUGGGUGGGCCAUAUAUGUAGCAUGCUGUACUACUUGCUAUGGAAAUGCAAAGAAGAAUUUCGCCCAAGACUAUGUAGUAGCAAAGAUGAGACUCUGAGCAAGUGGCACUGUCAUCCAAGAGUGUGCAAUGGCACAAAGAUACCAUCAGAAGCAAUAAAUCUCAACACAAGAGUUCAAGAAUGAACAGGAAAUGCAAAUGUGAAAAGGAGGAAGGGGACAAUUCCAG
Molecule: long non-coding RNA, 407 nt
Organism: Canis lupus familiaris (dog)
Lineage: Eukaryota; Metazoa; Chordata; Mammalia; Carnivora; Canidae
Exons: 3
Source: RefSeq, a predicted model, not a curated record